UACGUAGGGUGCAAGCGUUAAUCGGAAUUACUGGGCGUAAAGCGUGCGCAGGCGGUUGUUCAAGACAGAUGUGAAAUCCCCGGGCUUAACCUGGGAACUGCAUUUGUGACUGCACAGCUGGAGUGCGGCAGAGGGGGAUGGAAUUCCGCGUGUAGCAGUGAAAUGCGUAGAUAUGCGGAGGAACACCGAUGGCGAAGGCAAUCCCCUGGGCCUGCACUGACGCUCAUGCACGAAAGCGUGGGGAGCAAACAGG
RNAcentral lists this ribosomal RNA (253 nucleotides) under uncultured bacterium. Its description in RNAcentral is "partial 16S ribosomal RNA". It matches the Rfam family "Bacterial small subunit ribosomal RNA", at positions 524 to 776 of the family's 1533-position model. The record is from RNAcentral.